AUUGAACGCUGGCGGCAUGCUUUACACAUGCAAGUCGAACGGCAGCGCGGGCUUCGGCCUGGCGGCGAGUGGCGAACGGGUGAGUAAUGCAUCGGAACGUGCCCAGUAGUGGGGGAUAGCCCGGCGAAAGCCGGAUUAAUACCGCAUACGACCUGAGGGUGAAAGCGGGGGACCGAAAGGCCUCGCGCUAUUGGAGCGGCCGAUGUCGGAUUAGCUAGUUGGUGGGGUAAAGGCUUACCAAGGCGACGAUCCGUAGCUGGUCUGAGAGGACGACCAGCCACACUGGGACUGAGACACGGCCCAGACUCCUACGGGAGGCAGCAGUGGGGAAUUUUGGACAAUGGGGGCAACCCUGAUCCAGCCAUGCCGCGUGCGGGAAGAAGGCCUUCGGGUUGUAAACCGCUUUUGUUCGGGAAGAAAUCCUCUGGGCUAAUACCCCGGUGGGAUGACGUUACCGGAAGAAUAAGCACCGGCUAACUACGUG
RNAcentral lists this ribosomal RNA (484 nucleotides) under uncultured bacterium. RNAcentral describes it as "partial 16S ribosomal RNA". It matches the Rfam family "Bacterial small subunit ribosomal RNA", at positions 28 to 507 of the family's 1533-position model. The record is from RNAcentral.